GAAUCCCACAGGCCGUAAACCCAAGGUUUCCAGGGGAAGGUUCGUCCGCCCUGGGUUAGUCGGGACCUAAGCUGAGGCCGAAAGGCGUAGGUGAGGGACAACAGGUUGAUAUUCCUGUACUACCGAUAACCGUUUGAGAGAAGGGAUGACACAGUAGGAUAAGCUAAGCACACUGUUGGUUAUGUGUGCCCAAGCAUUGAGGCAGUCAAAGUAGGCAAAUCCGCUUUGAUAAUGCUGGGAUGUGAUGGGGAGCGAAAUUUAGUAGCGAAGUAGCUGAUUUCACACUGUCAAGAAAAGUCUCUAUCGAGGUUAAAGGUACCCGUACCGCAAACCGACACAGGUGGGUGAGGAGAGUAUCCUAAGGCCAGCGAGAGAACUGUUGUUAAGGAACUCGGCAAAAUGACCCCGUAACUUAGGGAUAAGGGGUGCCACCAUC
RNAcentral lists this ribosomal RNA (436 nucleotides) under Clostridioides difficile. Its description in RNAcentral is "bacterial LSU rRNA". It matches the Rfam family "Bacterial large subunit ribosomal RNA", at positions 1325 to 1758 of the family's 2925-position model. The record is from RNAcentral. Lineage: Bacteria; Bacillati; Bacillota; Clostridia; Peptostreptococcales; Peptostreptococcaceae.